This 259-nucleotide ribosomal RNA is filed under the name uncultured bacterium. Its description in RNAcentral is "partial 16S ribosomal RNA". It matches the Rfam family "Bacterial small subunit ribosomal RNA", at positions 80 to 354 of the family's 1533-position model. The record is from RNAcentral.
CUAAUAAUUCUCUAGUGGCGCACGGGUGAGUAACACGUGAGUAACCUGCCCCCGAGAGCGGGAUAGCCCUGGGAAACUGGGAUUAAUACCGCAUAGUAUCGAAAGAUUAAAGCAGCAAUGCGCUUGGGGAUGGGCUCGCGGCCUAUUAGUUAGUUGGUGAGGUAACGGCUCACCAAGGCGAUGACGGGUAGCCGGUCUGAGAGGAUGUCCGGCCACACUGGAACUGAGACACGGUCCAAACUCCUACGGAAGGCAGCAG